UUUCCUUUCCAUGAUCAUGAUCUAUUCUACUACAUUUCUAGAGCAGAGGAAGGAGUAUUUUGACUUGAACAGCAGUGUGAAUUUGUCUUGCACCAAUAAGAAGUUGUCAGUUGUGUACGCUAUAUGGAACAUUAACAUCAAUAAUUCCAAAUGCAUAAUAGCAUCUAAUAUUGCAAAAGAAGAAGACACUUGUAAGGAUGGAAAAGUUCUUCACAACAUUACUAAUGGUGAAGUCUACCUUCACAUUCCUCGCUUUACAAAAAAAGAUGAAGGACUUUAUUAUUGUGAAAUAGCAUCCAAAGAGGGAAGUCACUCUGCAGAAAUCAUAGUGUAUGCUAGAGCCUCCCUAAGCAUAUCCACCAGGCUGGAUGUGGACCACAGGGUCGCUGUGUGUUCAGCCACAGGAGCUCCUCCAGGUGCCUCCAUCUCAUGGAGGACAUCAUGGAACUCAACCGGUAACCAGAACUGCACACCAAACCCAGAUGGCACCUUCAACAUGGAGAGCCGUGUCAGCCUGCCUGAUGGUGUCAAUAGAAUUGACCUGGAGUGCAUCGUGACACAUCCUGACUGGAACAAGAACCACACUGAGAUAUUUCAUGUGCCUAGAUCAACCAGUAUGGGUCAGUAUUUCUGUGAACCUUUUAAACUCUUAGAAUAAUUUUGAUAUAUGUACAGUUGUGUUACAAUAAAUUACUCCCUAACUACGACUUUUUAACCACUUGAGAAUGCACGCAAAAGAAAUGUGAAUUCUGACAGCGAUUAAGAAUUUUUGGACAAAUGCAGUUUAAAAACAAGCCUUCAAACUGUCUGGCUAAGUCUGGAACACUGUCUUGUUAAUAUUUAAACUUAAUUUUUUAUUCUUCUUUUCACAGGCCCAUCGUUAGAAAUAUUGCCAUGUGUAAUUUUUUCAUUAAUUUCGGUCGUUCUCUUUGGCUUUUCAUCUAUUGCCCUAUUCAAGAUAAGACUUGAAGAGCGCAGAAGGCGACAAAUGAACUUAGAACAAUCAUGAUCUUCAGAUGAAAACUGCUGUCAUCUGGGAAACACAAAAGUACCCUUUUUCUUGUUAAACUAAAGAAAUUCCAUCGAAUGUUAUUUGAAAAGCCCGACACACGACAUAUUCCCAAAACAACCCUCAUGAAAGUACCGUGAUCUCAACUACUUUUCCCGUAUAUCUAAACAAGUAAAGUUGUCAAACUUCCUACUGUUCCUGUCAGUCUGUUUUGUUGAGAAGCAGAGGAUCAAAACAGAAAGUGGAAUCUCAUCUGUAGCAAACUGGAGGACCCGGUUGAUCCUCCCUGUUCAGAGGAGACCAACCAUGUGGGAUUUCACAGAGGGACACCGAAAGCUCACAGGUCACGAGAUGAGGGAUCGCGGGUCCCCUCCUUCCACACAACCCG
Scleropages formosus (Asian bonytongue) is the source of this 1397-nucleotide long non-coding RNA. RefSeq lists it as uncharacterized. The transcript has 3 exons. Lineage: Eukaryota; Metazoa; Chordata; Actinopteri; Osteoglossiformes; Osteoglossidae. The record is from RefSeq and is a predicted model, not a curated record.